UACGUAGGUGGCAAGCGUUGUCCGGAUUUACUGGGCGUAAAGGAUGCGUAGGCGGACAUUUAAGUCAGAUGUGAAAUACCCGAGCUUAACUUGGGUGCUGCAUUUGAAACUGGGUGUCUAGAGUGCAGGAAAGGCAAGUGGAAUUCCUAGUGUAGCGGUGAAAUGCGUAGAGAUUAGGAAGAACACCAGUGGCGAAGGCGACUUACUGGACUGUAACUGACGCUGAGGCAUGAAAGCGUGGGGAGCAAACAGG
This 253-nucleotide ribosomal RNA is filed under the name uncultured bacterium. Its description in RNAcentral is "partial 16S ribosomal RNA". It matches the Rfam family "Bacterial small subunit ribosomal RNA", at positions 524 to 776 of the family's 1533-position model. The record is from RNAcentral.